RNAcentral lists this long non-coding RNA (2414 nucleotides) under Scleropages formosus (Asian bonytongue). Its description in RNAcentral is "lncRNA (ENSSFOG00015027489.1)". Lineage: Eukaryota; Metazoa; Chordata; Actinopteri; Osteoglossiformes; Osteoglossidae. The record is from RNAcentral.
UGGUGGCAGUGGUCUGGGGCCUAUCACGGAAUUACUUGAGGGGACAUAUCAUCGCAGAGUCCAGAACACACACACUCAAUGACUCGCCCUUUCACACACUAAAGGCUAUUUAGCGUCAACAGUUCACGUGAAUUGCGUGUCUUUCGAGUGGGAGGAAACCAGAAGUAACCCAUGAAUACAGGGGAAAAACGCACAAAAAAUCUACACAGACCGAGCCGGAUUCGAAACGAAACCCGGUCGAAGAGUGAGGAACAGCGCUACGACUAUCGCGCUAUCCCUCCGCUCGGAUCGGCGCCAGAACGCGCAUGCGCUGUGGUAUCCGCUAUUCCCCCGGGAGAGAGACGUCGUGAGCGCACACCUGUAGGCUUUCUGCUCAUUUGUUUGAAACUUUUGUGAGGGAGGGAAGUAGGUGUUAAAUUUGAAAGAAAAGAAAAGAGAGCUUAAGCUCAGCAAUGCGGACUCUGCGAUAAAAUGGAAAAACUGAAACUUUAACGAUAUAGGUUUUUCUUUUUUUCCCCCCCUUUCCCCCGAAUUGUCGUAAAAGUAAGGAGACGAACGGAAUGGAACGGGAGAGUUUGACUGGCUUUAAAGCCAUACGAGCCAAGUUUCAGGAGGAGAUCGCCAAGAACCAGGGCAGAAACAAGCCUACUGUUCCUGACAAGCCGAAGCAAGUUCCACCUGCUGGACCGCCAUCUUCACUUCUGAGUGCUGUUAAUGUGAUCUCUGACAACAGGCCAGCAGUUAUGCCAUGUGUUGUCUUCAAAGACCCCAAGACAGGCCCAGCAUUUAAGCGACCCAUCUCCCAACCUCUCCCACUGCCGCCCUGCACACCUCCCCUCUUCACUGGAGAUGAAAACGCACGGUGCUCCUUCAGAGAUAAGCGAUUGUCACUCGUGUUGCCGGUGCAGCCAAAACAACACAAACCUCAACAACCUGUGUCAUUUAGUGGUUUCUCCCAAUCUGACAUGCCUCAAAAAGAGGCAUUUCCUUUCAAAUUAGCAUCUCCAGAACCCAUGAAAGAAAAUGCCUUCACUACUUUGGCUGAUAACCCAGUUGGGGAGAAUUUUGGGGAAGAGAGCAUGGUUGCUCCUCUUCAGCUGUAUUCAAAUACUGAGUCCCCAUCUCAGAGCCCAGAUGCACUAGCCACUCUUUCCUUAGCUGAAGAAGCACGCAGUGGAUCUCUGUGGAACAUAGCCAUGCCAUGCAAUUUUAACACUCUUCAAACCAGUGAGAGAGAGCAUGUACCUAGUUCUUUAUUGCUGUCCACCAGUUCAAAGAGCAAGUCAGCUGCUUAUGAAGAGCAACAUCCUGCAGUGCAUGCCAAUAAACUGUCCUCCAAGUGCUCCCCCACAGAUGACAAAAUGAAGGAAGAAUUUCUUCAGAAAUCCUCUAGCGACCUUAAGUCCACCAGUGUGUCUGCAUUAGCGGCCAAGAUCAAUGGCAGUACUCACCGAAAGAUUAUAGAAACCUUGGAGGAGAUCAUGGGCUCUGGAGCAAAGGUUUUGCAGCCAAGGUUUCAGACUGAAACUUUGCCACCUAAAGUACCUCUUCCAAGUCUACAGUCUCUUGGUCCCAAGCUGCAGAAGCCUCCAAGACCCCCAUUUGUGGAUCUCUCUUCUUACUGGACCACAAUGGCAAAAGCUCAUGGUGAAAGGGGCCUCAUUGGAGCACCUCAGAAUCUGGCUGCUGAGCAUCCACAGCUUCAAAGUGCAGAACCUAUGGUUGGAGAUCUACGAAACUCAGAAUUUCCAGACACAAGUGCUUCAGACUUGAAUGCAACAGAAAUCAAGGGUCUUUAUCCUGGACACCAGCCCCUUAGUUCUGUAGAGCCUGAAGCUCAGGAGCCUAAGGUCUCAAUUCUUCAGGCUCUGGGGUUAUGGAGCAGGGCUCUGGAUUCUGAAGUUGCAGAAUUUAUAGAACCUGGAGCAUCAGCUUCCGAGGCAUCUCAAAUUCCAUGUCCUGCUCCUGUAACUGAAUCUCUUGCAAAUAGAGAACCUAAGCAGCCAGCAAGACUCAACUAUGAUACCACUGACAAUCUUUAUGAAGAUGUUGAGAAUGUCAGGAAGCUUCACCGUGGUCAUCACACGUGGAAGCGCAAAAGCAUUCCAAAAAAUCCAUAUGCUGAUUCCCAGGUAAUGAAUGAAGAUGGGCGCAAGAGUGCAUGGUUUCAUAAUCCAUGGUUUGGUAUGACUGGGGAACUCCAUAGUCUGUCAUACUCACAUGGAGAUGGCCAUGGUCGAAAGGUAAGCCCUGAGGACCAUGAGGACAAAGAGCUCAAGAAGAGAGAGAAGCAUCGUCUGGAACGAGAGAAAAAGGAGCAAAAAGAGAGGGAGAAGAAGGAGCAGGAAAUGAAAAAGAAAUUCAAGGUAGGUGUCUUGAAAAUAGAAACAUUUAUGAAACACAGGGUUUUAUAA